GGAACCAACAGGAUCUCGCGAGACCAAGCUCCCACGCCCCCCCGCCGCUCCGCCCAUCGCGGCAUCCUGCUGGGCUUCGCCCCGCCCCUUUCUGAGCUCAGCCAAUCAGCACUCUGCGGGCCCGCAGCGACCUGCGCCCAGCUCCGCACUGCCGUCAACUGUUCGGACAAGGGACCUCCGCCGGCACCGCUUAGCGACUGUUUUGCCAUGUAGAACUAUUCCGUUUCCUGAAGGAACACUAUUCCAGCCACAUCACCUGCUGAUGGACACUUGGGUGUCUUCUACACACGCAUUCUAAUGCUGAAGGCUAACAUAACAGUCACCUGGAUGGCUUCACACAGCACCUGCUGAAGACAGAUGCAGAGACCCACAACCAAACAUUAGGCAGAGCUCGGGAAUCUUGUGGAAGAGGAGGAGGAAGGAUUGAAGGAGCCAGAGAGGUCAAGGACACCACAAGAAAACCUACAGCAUCAACUACCCUGGACCUACAGGGCCUCACAGAGACUGAGCAUCAACCAGAGAGCAUCCUUGGGACAGACCUAGGCCCCUGAGACAUACUUAACAGAUGUACAGCGUGGUCCUCAUGUGGGACCUCUAACAGCAGACGCAGGGGCUGCCUCUGACUCUUUGCCUUUGGAUCCCUUUCCCCUAAAUACACAGCCUUGUCUAGGCUCAGUAGAAGAGGAUGCGGCCCAGUCCUAUUGCUACGCCAAGGCAGAUUGAUGUCCAUGGGAAGUCUCCCCUUCUCUGAGAAAAAAAGGAAGAGGUACAGGGGGAGGGGAGGGGAGAGAGAAGGACUGAGAGGAAAAGAGGGAGGGGAACUUCCUACCCAGAUGUAAAUUUAAUUAAUUAAUGAAAAAAAUGACAGAAUUAAAGAACUGCAAGUUU
Long non-coding RNA from Meriones unguiculatus (Mongolian gerbil), 888 nucleotides. RefSeq lists it as uncharacterized. The record is from RefSeq and is a predicted model, not a curated record. NCBI's taxonomy places the organism in Eukaryota, Metazoa, Chordata, Mammalia, Rodentia, Muridae. The transcript has 2 exons.